AGAGUUUGAUCAUGGCUCAGAUUGAACGCUGGCGGCAGCCCUUAUACAUGCAAGUCGAACGAGAAAGUUCCUUCGGGAGCGAGUAAAGUGGCGGACGGGUGAGUAACGCGUAGGAAUCUACCUUUCAGUGGGGGAUAGCUCGGGGAAACUCGAAUUAAUACCGCAUACACCCUUCGGGGGAAAGGGGGCCUCUCCUUGGAAGCUCUCGCUGUUAGAUGAGCCUGCGUGAGAUUAGCUUGUUGGUAAGGUAAUGGCUUACCAAGGCUACGAUCUCUAGCUGGUCUGAGAGGACGAUCAGCCACACUGGGACUGAGACACGGCCCAGACUCCUACGGGAGGCAGCAGUAGGGAAUAUUGGACAAUGGGGGAAACCCUGAUCCAGGCAUGCCGCGUGUGUGAAGAAGGCCUUAGGGUUGUAAAGCACUUUAAGUGAGGAAGAAAAGAUUUAAAUUAAUACUUUAAAUCCCUGACAUUACUCACAGAAUAAGGACCGGCUAACUCCGUGCCAGCAGCCGCGGUAAUACGGAGGGUCCAAGCGUUAAUCGGAAUUACUGGGCGUAAAGCGCGCGUAGAUGGUUUAUUCAGUUGGGUGUGAAAUCCCUGGGCUCAACCUAGGAACUGCAUUCAAAACUUAUAAACUAGAGUACGAAAGAGGAGAGUAGAAUUCAUGGUGUAGCGGUGAAAUGCGUAGAGAUCAUGAGGAAUACCAGUGGCGAAGCGACUCUCUGGUUCGAGACUGACAUUGAGGUGCGAAAGCGUGGGUAGCAAACAGAUUAGAUACCCUGGUAGUCCACGCCGUAAACGAUGAGAACUAGCCGUUGGAUCUUUAGAUUCAGUGGCGCAGCUAACGCAUUAAGUUCUCCGCCUGGGGGAGUACGGCCGC
This 883-nucleotide ribosomal RNA is filed under the name marine metagenome. Its description in RNAcentral is "bacterial SSU rRNA". It matches the Rfam family "Bacterial small subunit ribosomal RNA", at positions 8 to 889 of the family's 1533-position model. The record is from RNAcentral.